GAUGAACGCUAGCGGCAGGCCUAAUACAUGCAAGACGAACGGUAAGUUGAGUAGCAAUACUUAGCCAAGAGUGUCGUACGGGUGCGUAACACGUAUGCAACCUACCCUAUACAGGAGGAUAGCCUAGGGAAACCUGGAUUAACCCUUCAUAGUAUUAUUGGAUGGCAUCAUUUGAUAAUUAAAACUGAGGUGGUAUAGGAUGGGCAUGCGUCUGAUUAGUUAGUUGGCGGGGUAAUGGCCCACCAAGACGAUGAUCAGUAGGGGUUCUGAGAGGAAGAUCCCCCACACUGGCACUGAGAUACGGGCCAGACUCCUACGGGAGGCAGCGGUAGGGAAUAUUGGUCAAUGGAUGCAAGUCUGAACCAGCAAUGCCGCGUGAGUGAAGAAGGCCUUGGGUUGGUAAAGCGUCUUUUGUCUAGGGAAGGAAACGGUAGAGUU
Molecule: ribosomal RNA, 438 nt
Filed under: uncultured bacterium
Lineage: Bacteria
Description: bacterial SSU rRNA
Rfam family: Bacterial small subunit ribosomal RNA
Source: RNAcentral